This 465-nucleotide ribosomal RNA is filed under the name uncultured Klebsiella sp. RNAcentral's name for it is "bacterial SSU rRNA". It matches the Rfam family "Bacterial small subunit ribosomal RNA", at positions 338 to 795 of the family's 1533-position model. The record is from RNAcentral. Lineage: Bacteria; Pseudomonadati; Pseudomonadota; Gammaproteobacteria; Enterobacterales; Enterobacteriaceae.
ACUACGGGAGGCUGCAGUGGGGAAUAUUGCACAAUGGGCGCAAGCCUGACGCAGCCAUGCCGCGUGUGUGAAGAAGGCCUUCGGGUUGUAAAGCACUUUCAGCGGGGAGGAAGGCGUUAAGGUUAAUAACCUUGGCGAUUGACGUUACCCGCAGAAGAAGCACCGGCUAACUCCGUGCCAGCAGCCGCGGUAAUACGGAGGGUGCAAGCGUUAAUCGGAAUUACUGGGCGUAAAGCGCACGCAGGCGGUCUGUCAAGUCGGGUGUGAAAUCCCCGGGCUCAACCUGGGAACUGCAUUCGAAACUGGCAGGCUAGAGUCUUGUAGAGGGGGGUAGAAUUCCAGGUGUAGCGGUGAAAUGCGUAGAGAUCUGGAGGAAUAUCGGUGGCGAAGGCGGCCCCCUGGACAAAGACUGACGCUCAGGUGCGAAAGCGUGGGGAGCAAACAGGAUUAGAUACCCCAGUAGUC